GCCUGGGUUGCUCAGUCGGUUGAGCAUCUGACCUCAGCUCAGGUCAUGAUCUCACAGUUUGUGAGUUCAAGCCCCGCAUCAGGCU
This is a non-coding RNA of Felis catus (domestic cat), 85 nucleotides long. NCBI's taxonomy places the organism in Eukaryota, Metazoa, Chordata, Mammalia, Carnivora, Felidae. The record is from Rfam.